This 253-nucleotide ribosomal RNA is filed under the name uncultured bacterium. RNAcentral's name for it is "partial 16S ribosomal RNA". It matches the Rfam family "Bacterial small subunit ribosomal RNA", at positions 524 to 776 of the family's 1533-position model. The record is from RNAcentral.
UACGUAGGGGGCAAGCGUUGUCCGGAUUCAUUGGGCGUAAAGAGCGUGUAGGCGGCCAGGUAGGUCGGUUGUGAAAACUGGAGGCUCAACCUUCAGAGGUCGACCGAAACCAUCUGGCUAGAGUCCGGGAGAGGAGAGUGGAAUUCCUGGUGUAGCGGUGAAAUGCGCAGAUAUCAGGAGGAACACCAGUGGCGAAGGCGACUACCUGGCCUGUUCUUGACGCUGAGGCGCGAAAGCUAGGGGAGCAAACGGG